UUGAUUCGAUUUGCCAUGUGACUCAGAUCCCAUCAUUGAAACAGGGUUGGAGGUCCUCUGGCGGGCGCUGUCCAGCAAGAGCCGGCGGUGCGAGGCACCGGCCCGCCAAAGCAACAGUUGGGUAAACAAAGGGUGGGAGUAAGGACCCUAGGGCCCUAGAACUCGAUAAUGAUCCUUCCGCAGGUUCACCUACGGAAA
Molecule: unclassified non-coding RNA, 198 nt
Filed under: uncultured fungus
Lineage: Eukaryota; Fungi
Description: sequence contains ITS1
Source: RNAcentral